This 252-nucleotide unclassified non-coding RNA is filed under the name uncultured Rhodobacterales bacterium. RNAcentral describes it as "contains 16S-23S intergenic spacer region". It matches the Rfam family "Bacterial small subunit ribosomal RNA", at positions 524 to 776 of the family's 1533-position model. The record is from RNAcentral. Lineage: Bacteria; Pseudomonadati; Pseudomonadota; Alphaproteobacteria; Rhodobacterales.
UACGGAGGGGACUAGCGUUGUUCGGAAUUACUGGGCGUAAAGCGCGCGUAGGCGGAUUGGUCAGUCAGAGGUGAAAUCCCGGGGCUCAACCCCGGAACUGCCUUUGAUACUGCUAGUCUUGAGUUCGAGAGAGGUGAGUGGAAUCCCGAGUGUAGAGGUGAAAUUCGUAGAUAUUCGGAGGAACCCCAGUGGCGAAGGCGGCUAACUGGCUCGAUACUGAGCUGAGGUGCGAAAGCGUGGGGAGCAAACAGG